This 813-nucleotide ribosomal RNA is filed under the name Triticum aestivum (bread wheat). RNAcentral's name for it is "partial small subunit ribosomal RNA". Lineage: Eukaryota; Viridiplantae; Streptophyta; Magnoliopsida; Poales; Poaceae. The record is from RNAcentral.
AUGACUGACACCAUUGAUUUCUCAGUUUGUAACCUGGCCACUCGUCAAUUUGCUCCCCUUCAACAACUACAUGAAUUGGGCUUGCGGUUAUUGGGGAUGUACUCGCAUCAACCUACUGGCGAGUAUCGAUUGUUACUUGAACGCGAUAGCUACAAUGAAACGCCUGAAGACCAACUUGGCUACUAUGUAUUUGCAUUGGGCUCUCACCAGUCGCCGAGGUACAUUGGGUGGCAGGAGUCAACAUCACAAUGCUUCAGUUUACCUGUCUUGGUAUGCGAUAGCCUGCAUUGGUACCCAGUCUAUUAUGUGAGUGAAAGCAGCUAUGUACGGCUUCAGAGUGAAAGCAAAGCGAUAAUAGUAUUCGACACCAUAGCUGAGUCGUUCCGGCCAAUGCGUGCUCCAAUUGUUUCCACCAACUCAUAUGCCUUUGAGAUGGAUGGUACACUCGGCAUAUAUAGCCGUAACUAUGCCAAAACAACUAUUGAUAUAUGGGUAUUGCAGAACUACAAAAGCGAGGUUUGGAACUUCAAGUAUCGAAUCAAAUUGCCAGUUGCAGAAAUAUGGGGGAAGUUUGAGACCUUUGAUGACCUUUGGAAUGUGGAGGUUGUUUCAGUGGACGGUGACGUGCUCUUGCUAGUCAGUUCUGGUCGGUGUCUGUCUUACGUUGACAAUGAUGGUAAGCUGAUUGACAGUUUUGAUCAUGGUCGCAAAUACUUCUUUUUGUCUAAAUAUCGGCUCAAGCAAAGUCUUGUCCAGCAUACCUUCUUUCAGGCUUUAGAAAGUUCUGUUGUGAACACUUCACCAUUCAUCUGA